Molecule: ribosomal RNA, 501 nt
Filed under: uncultured Desulfobulbus sp.
Lineage: Bacteria; Pseudomonadati; Thermodesulfobacteriota; Desulfobulbia; Desulfobulbales; Desulfobulbaceae
Description: bacterial SSU rRNA
Rfam family: Bacterial small subunit ribosomal RNA
Source: RNAcentral
AGCCCGCUCAGAAACUCAAAUGAAUUGACGGGGCCCGCACAAGCGGUGGAGUAUGUGGUUUAAUUCGAUGCAACGCGAAGAACCUUACCUGGUCUUGACAUCCCGGAGACCCUUAGGAAACUAGGGGGUGCUUCCAUCUGGAAGAAUCUGGAGACAGGUGCUGCAUGGCUGUCGUCAGCUCGUGUCGUGAGAUGUUGGGUUAAGUCCCGCAACGAGCGCAGCCCUUGCCUUUAGUUGCCAGCAGUUCGGCUGGGCACUCUAAAGGGACUGCCGGUGUUAAACCGGAGGAAGGUGGGGAUGACGUCAAGUCCUCAUGGCCUUUAUGACCAGGGCUACACACGUACUACAAUGGCCGAUACAAAGGGCAGCGACACUGCGAGGUGAAGCCAAUCCCGUAAAAUCGGUCUCAGUCCGGAUUGGAGUCUGCAACUCGACUCCAUGAAGUUGGAAUCGCUAGUAAUCGUGGAUCAGCAUGCCACGGUGAAUACGUUCCCGGGCCUU